This 457-nucleotide ribosomal RNA is filed under the name Terrahaemophilus aromaticivorans. RNAcentral's name for it is "bacterial SSU rRNA". It matches the Rfam family "Bacterial small subunit ribosomal RNA", at positions 30 to 473 of the family's 1533-position model. The record is from RNAcentral. Lineage: Bacteria; Pseudomonadati; Pseudomonadota; Gammaproteobacteria; Pasteurellales; Pasteurellaceae.
AUUGAACGCUGGCGGCAGGCUUAACACAUGCAAGUCGAACGGUAACAUGAAGAAGCUUGCUUCUUUGAUGACGAGUGGCGGACGGGUGAGUAAUGCUUGGGAAUCUAGCUUAUGGAGGGGGAUAACUACGGGAAACUGUAGCUAAUACCGCGUAGAAUCGAGAGAUGAAAGUGUGGGACCUUCGGGCCACAUGCCAUAGGAUGAGCCCAAGUGGGAUUAGGUAGUUGGUGAGGUAAAGGCUCACCAAGCCGACGAUCUCUAGCUGGUCUGAGAGGAUGACCAGCCACACUGGGACUGAGACACGGCCCAGACUCCUACGGGAGGCAGCAGUGGGGAAUAUUGCGCAAUGGGGGCAACCCUGACGCAGCCAUGCCGCGUGAAUGAAGAAGGCCUUCGGGUUGUAAAGUUCUUUCGGUAGCGAGGAAGGCAUUUAGUUUAAUAGAUCUAGGUGAAGGAC